Molecule: ribosomal RNA, 455 nt
Filed under: Helicobacter pylori
Lineage: Bacteria; Pseudomonadati; Campylobacterota; Epsilonproteobacteria; Campylobacterales; Helicobacteraceae
Description: partial 23S ribosomal RNA
Rfam family: Bacterial large subunit ribosomal RNA
Source: RNAcentral
AGAUGAGAUGAGUAUUCUAAGGCGCGUGAAAGAACUCUGGUUAAGGAACUCUGCAAACUAGCACCGUAAGUUCGCGAUAAGGUGUGCCACAGCGAUGUGGUCUCAGCAAAGAGUCCCUCCCGACUGUUUACCAAAAACACAGCACUUUGCCAACUCGUAAGAGGAAGUAUAAGGUGUGACGCCUGCCCGGUGCUCGAAGGUUAAGAGGAUGCGUCAGUCGCAAGAUGAAGCGUUGAAUUGAAGCCCGAGUAAACGGCGGCCGUAACUAUAACGGUCCUAAGGUAGCGAAAUUCCUUGUCGGUUAAAUACCGACCUGCAUGAAUGGCGUAACGAGAUGGGAGCUGUCUCAACCAGAGAUUCAGUGAAAUUGUAGUGGAGGUGAAAAUUCCUCCUACCCGCGGCAAGACGGAGAGACCCCGUGGACCUUUACUACAACUUAGCACUGCUAAUGGGAA